GUUUAUUCUUUUCUCGCAUUUUCCAUAGAAGUUGAUAUUCUUUCACAAUGCUUUUCAAAUGCAUCCUUAUAAGGCCGAGUUUGUGGAGUUUUUUUUUUCUUUUUAUCUUCAUCUUUUUCUCUGAUGUUUCUUUCCAUCAGUUGAUAGAUUGCCCACCUGUUCAUAUCAUGAUAUCAUCAGAAUUGAGAGGUUCAUGCAAGGAGAAAUUUAAAAUUUGAACUUGUGGAGCAAUAUG
This is a long non-coding RNA of Cucurbita maxima (winter squash), 235 nucleotides long. RefSeq lists it as uncharacterized. The record is from RefSeq and is a predicted model, not a curated record. NCBI's taxonomy places the organism in Eukaryota, Viridiplantae, Streptophyta, Magnoliopsida, Cucurbitales, Cucurbitaceae. The transcript has 2 exons.